GACGAACGCUGGCGGCGUGCCUAAUACAUGCAAGUCGAACGGUCUUUUCUAUGGAAGCUUGCUUCCACUGGGAAGAUAGUGGCGGACGGGUGAGUAACACGUGGGUAACCUGCCCAUAAGAGGGGGAUAACAUCCGGAAACGGGUGCUAAUACCGCAUAGGUUUCUUGGUCGCAUGAUUGAGAAAGGAAGACGGCCUUUGUGCUGUCGCUUAUGGAUGGACCCGCGGCGUAUUAGUUAGUUGGUGAGGUAACGGCUCACCAAGACGAUGAUACGUAGCCGACCUGAGAGGGUGAUCGGCCACAUUGGGACUGAGACACGGCCCAGACUCCUACGGGAGGCAGCAGUGGGGGAUAGUGGACAAGUGGGGGGAAACCCUGAUCCAGCGAUGCCGCGUGAGGGAAGAAGGUUUUCGGAUUGUAAACCCU
This 426-nucleotide ribosomal RNA is filed under the name uncultured bacterium. RNAcentral describes it as "bacterial SSU rRNA". It matches the Rfam family "Bacterial small subunit ribosomal RNA", at positions 28 to 433 of the family's 1533-position model. The record is from RNAcentral.